AACGAACGCUGGCGGCAUGCCUAACACAUGCAAGUCGAACGAGACCUUCGGGUCUAGUGGCGCACGGGUGCGUAACGCGUGGGAACCUGCCCUUAGGUUCGGAAUAACUCCCCGAAAGGGGUGCUAAUACCGGAUAAUGUCUUCGGACCAAAGAUUUAUCGCCUUUGGAUGGGCCCGCGUUGGAUUAGCUAGUUGGUAGGGUAAAAGCCUACCAAGGCGACGAUCCAUAGCUGGUCUGAGAGGAUGAUCAGCCACACUGGGACUGAGACACGGCCCAGACUCCUACGGGAGGCAGCAGUGGGGAAUAUUGGACAAUGGGCGAAAGCCUGAUCCAGCAAUGCCGCGUGGGCGAUGAAGGCCUUAGGGUUGUAAAGCUCUUUUACCCGGGAUGAUAAUGACAGUACCGGGAGAAUAAGCUCCGGCUAACUCCGUG
This 433-nucleotide ribosomal RNA is filed under the name uncultured bacterium. RNAcentral describes it as "partial 16S ribosomal RNA". It matches the Rfam family "Bacterial small subunit ribosomal RNA", at positions 29 to 507 of the family's 1533-position model. The record is from RNAcentral.